RNAcentral lists this ribosomal RNA (879 nucleotides) under Neometulocladosporiella eucalypti. Its description in RNAcentral is "eukaryotic LSU rRNA". It matches the Rfam family "Eukaryotic large subunit ribosomal RNA", at positions 46 to 942 of the family's 3401-position model. Lineage: Eukaryota; Fungi; Ascomycota; Leotiomycetes; Helotiales; Rutstroemiaceae. The record is from RNAcentral.
AUAAGCGGAGGAAAAGAAACCAACAGGGAUUGCCUCAGUAACGGCGAGUGAAGCGGCAUAAGCUCAAAUUUGAAAUCUGGCUCUUUCAGAGUCCGAGUUGUAAUUUGUAGAAGAUGUUUCGGGUGUGGUUCCGGUCUAAGUUCCUUGGAACAGGACGUCAUAGAGGGUGAGAAUCCCGUAUGUGACCGGUUACUUUCGCUCAUGUGAAACUCUUUCGACGAGUCGAGUUGUUUGGGAAUGCAGCUCAAAAUGGGUGGUAAAUUUCAUCUAAAGCUAAAUAUUGGCCAGAGACCGAUAGCGCACAAGUAGAGUGAUCGAAAGAUGAAAAGCACUUUGGAAAGAGAGUUAAACAGUACGUGAAAUUGUUGAAAGGGAAGCGCUUGCAAUCAGACUUGCGCCUAGUUGAUCAUCUGGGCUUCUGUCCAGUGCACUCGAUUAGGCUCAGGCCAGCAUCAGUUUGGGUGGUUGGAUAAAGGCUUAGGGAAUGUGGCCCCUCUCGGGGGGUGUUAUAGCCCUAGGUGCAAUGCAGCCUACCUGGACUGAGGACCGCGCUUCGGCUAGGAUGCUGGCGUAAUGGUUGUAAGCGACCCGUCUUGAAACACGGACCAAGGAGUCUAACAUUUAUGCGAGUAUUUGGGUGUUAAACCCAUAUGCGUAAUGAAAGUGAACGGAGGUAAGAACCCUUAAGGGUGCAUUAUCGACCGAUCCUGAUGUCUUCGGAUGGAUUUGAGUAAGAGCAUAACUGUUGGGACCCGAAAGAUGGUGAUCUAUACGUGAAUAGGGUGAAGCCAGAGGAAACUCUGGUGGAGGCUCGCAGCGGUUCUGACGUGCAAAUCGAUCGUCAAAUUUGCGUAUAGGGGCGAAAGACUAAUCGAACCA